ACCAUCGGCCGUUGACUGUACC
This 22-nucleotide microRNA is filed under the name Xenopus laevis (African clawed frog). RNAcentral describes it as "Xla-Mir-181-P1b4_3p* (star (passenger))". RNAcentral also lists the same sequence under 1 other name. Lineage: Eukaryota; Metazoa; Chordata; Amphibia; Anura; Pipidae. The record is from RNAcentral.